AGGGAAUUCAAUAUUUUAUUUUUGUAAAUCACAUUUACUUUGGUACUUUCACACAGGCUGGCAGUGAUGUAAUAAAUUGUCAAGCUGGUAAUGCAAAAGAAAUAUUACAGCAGAUGUCACGCACAGAUGUGGAUGUGAUUUAUAGUUCUGUGGUUACUAAAAAGUAGCAGACUGUGAAACAGGGUUAAAGCACACAGUCAAGAUGCCACAGUACAAAGACAUGAGUCACCACCAACCGCAAAUUUGAAUGUUUGACUUCUAAGUCCAGGCAAUGUGAGCUGUUGGGUUGUUUUUGUGACACUAUGUCACAGUUUGUGGUUUGCUUUUUAAAUGCAUAGCAUGAAAACUAGAUGCAGGUGCAUUCAAUUUAGGAUGUUAUAAUUUGAGAUCACAAUUGCUUUAAACAGUUAAUAUGAGAGAGUUAUUCAAAAAUCACAGUCACCUUUCUGUGUAUCACAGCAACAACACAAUCAGACUUAAACUGUAAUCACAUAUAACAUCCAAGAUAAUGAAACGAUUCAUAAAUAUGUAUCUCAAAUAUUUGAAGAGCAUAUUUAGAAACAAUAAUAUAAAAUAUUAAAAAAAAAAUUCUCCACCUCUCUGAACUUGCACUGUCAGAAUAUGUGUUUGUGUUUUUUUUUCAAAUGUCUUUUCUCUAUUUUUCUUUUUUGUCCUUGACAUAGUUCUCAAUGAAAAACGUUUAAAAGCACCAUUUAGGUUCAUGAAUUCCAAGUAUGCGUAUUAUGUAUAUGAAUAAACUUUUAUUGUCUCUUUAAAAGGGGUUUUGUUGCUAUUUUUUUUUUAUAUUAACUCCACCUAGGUAAUGAGUGUACUGUACUGCCUCACGUCAGUCUUGACUCAGUACAGACAAAUAAGUUAUAAAAGGCUUUGAUAUGCCUCGUCCUUAUCUGAUGUAAGACUACGCAAAUCUAUUAUAGUCCUUAUUCCUCUGUGUUGUUUCUUUUGCACAACAUGCAAAUGCAUAGUUUGACCACAGUAGAAUAAUACAGACAGACUGAUCAGACCUCUAACUUCACAUAAUGUGUCAUAAAAGCCGAUAAUAUGUCAGUGACGUCGGAGAC
This is a long non-coding RNA of Betta splendens (Siamese fighting fish), 1082 nucleotides long. RefSeq lists it as uncharacterized. The record is from RefSeq and is a predicted model, not a curated record. The transcript has 3 exons. NCBI's taxonomy places the organism in Eukaryota, Metazoa, Chordata, Actinopteri, Anabantiformes, Osphronemidae.